CUACGGGGAUGAUCUCAAAAGUUGAACUCUCUCUUUCUGAUGAAUUAGUGGAGAAAACAUAAAAAUUCUGAGUAGC
This 76-nucleotide small nucleolar RNA is filed under the name Tursiops truncatus (common bottlenose dolphin). RNAcentral's name for it is "Small nucleolar RNA SNORD26 (ENSTTRG00000022565.1)". It matches the Rfam family "Small nucleolar RNA SNORD26". Rfam says of the family: U26 is a member of the C/D class of snoRNA which contain the C (UGAUGA) and D (CUGA) box motifs. U26 is encoded within the U22 snoRNA host gene (UHG) in mammals and is thought to act as a 2'-O-ribose methylation guide for ribosomal RNA. The record is from Rfam by way of RNAcentral. Lineage: Eukaryota; Metazoa; Chordata; Mammalia; Artiodactyla; Delphinidae. RNAcentral also lists the same sequence under 8 other names.